GACGAACGCUGGCGGCGUGCUUAACACAUGCAAGUCGAACGGAAAGGCCCUGCUUGCAGGGUACUCGCGUGUCGAACGGGGGAGAAACACACGGGAGUUCUCCCCCCCACUUCGGGGUAUGACUGGGAAACACGGUCUAAUACCGGGGAGGGGCGAUUCUGCGUGUUAGUGUUGGAUAGAAUUUUCUGGGUGGGAGGAGCUCGCGGCCUGCUAACUUGUUGGUGGGGGGAUGGGCUACCAACGCGGCGACGGGUAGCCGGCCUGCGGGGGGGGACGGCCACAAUGGGACUGAGGAACGGCCCCGACUCCUACGGGGGGCAGCAGUGGGGGAUAAUGCACAAGGGGGGGGAGCCUGAUGCAGCGACGCCGCGGUGGGGAUGACGGCCUUUGGGGUGGUAACACGUUUCGCCAGGGGCGAAGCUGUUAGUGACGGUACCUGGAGAAGAAGCACCGGCUAACUACGUG
RNAcentral lists this ribosomal RNA (465 nucleotides) under uncultured bacterium. Its description in RNAcentral is "partial 16S ribosomal RNA". It matches the Rfam family "Bacterial small subunit ribosomal RNA", at positions 28 to 507 of the family's 1533-position model. The record is from RNAcentral.